AUACGGAGGGUGCAAGCGUUACGCGGAAUCACUGGGCGUAAAGCGCGCGCAGGCGGCUAUUUAAGUUGGAUGUGAAAGCCUACGGCUCAACCGUAGAACUGCAUCCAAAACUAUUUAGCUAGAGUGUGGGAGAGGAAGAUGGAAUUAGUUGUGUAGGGGUAAAAUCCGUAGAGAUAACUAGGAAUACCAAAAGCGAAGGCAAUCUUCUGGAACACUACUGACGCUGAGGCGCGAAAGCGUGGGGAGCAAACGGGAUUAGAUACCCCAGUAGUCC
RNAcentral lists this ribosomal RNA (274 nucleotides) under uncultured bacterium. Its description in RNAcentral is "partial 16S ribosomal RNA". It matches the Rfam family "Bacterial small subunit ribosomal RNA", at positions 523 to 796 of the family's 1533-position model. The record is from RNAcentral.